Molecule: ribosomal RNA, 253 nt
Filed under: uncultured bacterium
Lineage: Bacteria
Description: partial 16S ribosomal RNA
Rfam family: Bacterial small subunit ribosomal RNA
Source: RNAcentral
UACGGGGGGGGCAAGCGUUGUUCGGAAUUACUGGGCGUAAAGGGCUCGUAGGCGGCCAACUAAGUCAAACGUGAAAUCCCUCGGCUUAACCGGGGAACUGCGCUUGAUACUGGAUGGCUUGAGAUUGGGAGAGGGAUGCGGAAUUCCAGGUGUAGCGGUGAAAUGCGUAGAUAUCUGGAGGAACACCGGUGGCGAAGGCGGCAUCCUGGACCGGUAUUGACGCUGAGGCGCGAAAGCCAGGGGAGCAAACGGG